This 413-nucleotide unclassified non-coding RNA is filed under the name Hevea brasiliensis (rubber tree). The record is from RNAcentral. Lineage: Eukaryota; Viridiplantae; Streptophyta; Magnoliopsida; Malpighiales; Euphorbiaceae.
UUUCGAAUUAGUUCAUUACAUUCUGGGUGGCUAUCAGAUCCUUAAAAUCAGUUAUUGCUUUUGGUUUUGCCCCCAUUGAGUAUUUUUGUGAUAACUAAGUUUAUAUUGAGAACAUUGUAGGAAGUGAUUGGUCUCUGCAACUUAUUCUUGGCAAUUUUUACACUUAUAUAAAAUAUCUUGAAGAUCAAUCUCAUCAUUUGUUUAGGAUUCUGAAUUGGGGAUUCUAGAUUCAUUUACUCUUAGGGUGGAGGGGUUUAUGAGAGGGAGAGGUUACCCUUCUUUGUGUAACCCAAGACACCAUGGGCCUCCUUUUGUAAAGCAUUUCAUCAAGUGGCUCAUUUAGUUGGAAUAAUAAAAUGCAUCUCUUGAACAUUAGCUAUAGGCAAUACAAACCCGGUAUCUUUGACAUCUCG